GGUGAACGCUGGCGGCGUGCCUAAUACAUGCAAGUCGAGCGGAAGUUGGAGAGCUUGCUCUUCAACUUUAGCGGCGGACGGGUGAGUAACACGUGGGCAACCUGCCCUGCAGAUCGGGAUAACUCCGGGAAACCGGUGCUAAUACCGAAUAGUUUUCGCCACCUCCUGGUGGCGUACGGAAAGACGGUUUCGGCUGUCACUGCAGGAUGGGCCCGCGGCGCAUUAGCUAGUUGGUGGGGUAACGGCCCACCAAGGCAACGAUGCGUAGCCGACCUGAGAGGGUGAUCGGCCACACUGGGACGAAGACACGGCCCAGACUCCUACGGGAGGCAGCAGUAGGGAAUCUUCCGCAAUGGACGAAAGUCUGACGGAGCAACGCCGCGUGAGUGACGAAGGUUUUCGGAUCGUAAAACUCUGUCGUGAGGGAAGAACAAGUACCAACUAACUACUGGUACCUUGACGGUACCUCACCAGAAAGCCACGGCUAACUACGUGCCAGCCGCCGCGGUAA
Molecule: ribosomal RNA, 511 nt
Filed under: uncultured bacterium
Lineage: Bacteria
Description: partial 16S ribosomal RNA
Rfam family: Bacterial small subunit ribosomal RNA
Source: RNAcentral